ACCACGCACACAAUCACACACAUUUUAUAUUUUAACAUCUGAAGAAAUUUAACUGUUACAGUUAUGUUUUGGUGGUAUUCGUGCAAGUGAACUUUGCAUCGCUUUCUGGCAAACAAAAAAUCGUGCUGAGGAAAAGCUGACCAAUUGACUGAACUAAAAUGCGAGUUAAAAGGUAAAGAUGCUGAAAUUUACCGCGCACCGGAGACACACCGGAGUUUUCUUCAUGAGCAAAAAUGGUUCUUUCCAUAAUGCUGUAAUUCCUGAAUAAAAAUCAUAUGAGCUGUAAAUCUUCAGUUGCUUCCAUCGCUCUGCCAAGAGAGAUUAUUUCCGUAUCUGGACGGAGGAGUCCGCCGGAGUCCGCAUGAAUACCUUUUCCCUACCAAUGUUCCACAGGACGAAUGUUAAACUUGUUUUCAAAAAUAAUUCAUUUAUGUUCAAAUAAAUGUUGUUUCCAAGACUAUAAAUUCUUGAUGUUGUUCGGUUCUUGUUUUUUUUCUCUUCAAUUUGUCUGAUCUGGAAGGGGGAUAAUCUGCUCGACCCUUGUAUAUACUUCAACUAUGCAUAACAAAUAAGUCAUAUGGUUCGAGUUUUAAAAAAUGGAUUGUAUUUCAACCAUUUGUCAAAGAAUGAGGCGAAAAUUUUGUUAGCGAAAAUUGUCAUUUUUGUAUGGUAACCUAACUUAACAACCCGUUCCCCAUAUUGUCAUUCGGCUAAUAACCAUUUCAUAUAAUGUCAAAACCAUUGAUGGUAGUGUGGACUUAUAGUUGCGAACGACGUUUUAUGGCAAUGUUGAGAUGUAUUUACUAAUGGUUAUGGAAAAUAAUGGUGAAGG
Armigeres subalbatus is the source of this 832-nucleotide long non-coding RNA. RefSeq lists it as uncharacterized. Lineage: Eukaryota; Metazoa; Arthropoda; Insecta; Diptera; Culicidae. The record is from RefSeq and is a predicted model, not a curated record. The transcript has 3 exons.